RNAcentral lists this ribosomal RNA (245 nucleotides) under uncultured bacterium. RNAcentral's name for it is "partial 16S ribosomal RNA". It matches the Rfam family "Bacterial small subunit ribosomal RNA", at positions 524 to 768 of the family's 1533-position model. The record is from RNAcentral.
UACGAAGGGGGCUAGCGUUGUUCGGAAUUACUGGGCGUAAAGCGCACGUAGGCGGAUACUUAAGUCAGGGGUGAAAUCCCGGGGCUCAACCCCGGAACUGCCUUUGAUACUGGGUAUCUGGAGUCCGGAAGAGGUGAGUGGAAUUCCGAGUGUAGAGGUGAAAUUCGUAGAUAUUCGGAGGAACACCAGUGGCGAAGGCGGCUCACUGGUCCGGUACUGACGCUGAGGUGCGAAAGCGUGGGGAG